AGCUCUGCUUAUUGUUGUCAAACGGUUAAAUAACGCCACGUGCUUUUUACUGAAUGCAUCUGCAUAAAUAAUCAGUUGUAAUGUUUAUCAAAGUGCACGCUUUGAAAAACUAAAACGCCAUAUUAAAUAUAGUAAUUAAAUGUCUUCCUCGACGAGAACAAUCUUACUUUGAUCGACUCAAGAAAAUUCAAGAUAAUUCGAAACGCCAAAUUAGAAAUGCGAGACCUCGGAGCAAAUCCAGGAGUGGAAUUUCAGGUGAAAGUUCUGAUGAACUGACCAAAAACAGAGUUGACAAAGCCUGGUCACUGGCGCUGAAAUCAUGUCAGGAUUCCAAGUAUCUCGAACGUCAGAAUGCAACCGUAAAGCCCAUGAACAAACCAUGGAAGACUAUUCGACUGUUUGUUUCGUCGACGUUUCACGACUUCCAGGUGGAGCGGGAUAUUUUGGUGAAGAAAGUGUUUCCUGAUUUGAGGGCUUGGUGCAAGGGAAGAAAGUUGCAUCUCGUCGAAAUAGAUCUGAGAUGGGGCGUUCCGUCUGGCCUAGAUGCUGAAUUAGCUGUUCACACGUGUCUGGGUGAGAUUGAGAGGUGUUACAAAGAGAACACUUUUCCCUUUUUCCUCAGUAUGUUGUCAGAGAGAGUUGGCUGGAUUCCAGAUCACCAUGUGGUCAGCGAUGCUAUCAG
Long non-coding RNA from Symsagittifera roscoffensis, 682 nucleotides. RefSeq lists it as uncharacterized. The transcript has 2 exons. The record is from RefSeq and is a predicted model, not a curated record. Lineage: Eukaryota; Metazoa; Xenacoelomorpha; Acoela; Convolutidae.